CUUGGCCUUUUUCUUUCAACGUACCAGAUAAAUUUGUCUGCUCUUUGGGAGAGAAAUACUGGGUGAUUUUCAACUGUUUGGGCUUUUUUUCUACUGCUGAUAGUUCCAGAAUAUCAAGCCCCUGAGUCAGGCAUUAAGGCGGGAGUGGAGGUAGUGAAUGAUGCAACUUGGCAAGAUUCUAUUUGGGUCAUCAACUUUUAGAGCCAAAUCCAUUCCUGAAAUAAAUACAACAAAAUUGGUGAAAUUAGACAUGUAAUGCCUGUUUGCACAGUUUUCAAGUUAACUGCUGUGUCUUUUUAAGAGGAAAUCUAUUACUCAGACAUUUAUUUGUGCCUUAGGUCUUACUGAACUUAGAGAAAGCUGCUUUGUGUUAUUUUCUGGAUCACCUUUAGGUUUUAGACAGCCCUAACAAAAAAAAUAAAAAGUUGG
Long non-coding RNA from Rhineura floridana, 429 nucleotides. RefSeq lists it as uncharacterized. Lineage: Eukaryota; Metazoa; Chordata; Lepidosauria; Squamata; Rhineuridae. The transcript has 3 exons. The record is from RefSeq and is a predicted model, not a curated record.